UUAAGCUUUUUCUUUUUAUUCACAGAAAGGGAACAUUAAAUGAUGUGACAAUUGAAACAGGCAAAAACCACAAGUUAUUUCCUCUUCAGGAAUUUUGCUUUAAUUAAAAAGAAGAAGAAGCUCAACCGAAGUCCCUACAUCUUCUUGAGCUAGGAACAGUUGAGUUGCAUAGAACCACAGCAUCAAUGACCAGCUUUACCUGGUGUGAAAUUGGUGAACUGCCCCUGGGGAACAGAGGUUAUCCACGUGGGCUGUAGGUUGUAAUCACCACGAAGCUUUUUAGAAUACCAGUGCCAGAGCCCUCCCCUGAAGGUUCUCUUUGCUCUGUCUGUCUUUACUGUGAGCUCUCAGCCUUCACAGAUCUGCUUCAGGCUUGUCAACCCUCUUGUUUCUUCCCUCUCAUCUCCUUUCUUUUCCAUCUGACACACUGCGCAUCAGGUGAAGCCUGUUCACAAGAUUGCCCUGUCGGCACAGCGCUUGAUGGACACAGCAGGUAGUGGGUCUGCCAUCUUGGUGGGCGUAGCAGGAGGCAAGUCUAUUGUCUGGAGCUGGGCAGUCACAGCAAUAAAUCAUUGCCUACUGUUGGUAGCAAUGGCUGGAAUUUGGGUGUUAUGGUCUGACCAUUUGGUGAGCUCUGCACUGGAUGAAUCAUUUGAAGAGAUCCAGUGUCUGUUGGGUGAGACAACAGAGAAGCUAGUUUGUUUGCCUGUUCAUCUAUUUGGGCUCAAAUCAAUCAAGACUGUUGUGUGCCACCAAGAAGGAUGCUGUCAGCAGGUCAGACUCUGUUCUUGGUCAGCUGUAAGAGUUCCAAUGUAAUCAUCUAGGACUUCAGAGGAACAAAAAAGCAUCCAAGCACCCAACAGUGUUUUUGCCAGAAAAUCCUUCAUCCUUGUGACAAUGUAUAAUUCUGGUUCAUGCUAGGUUCACAAACUUCUUUAUUUCUGUAUCCUUCUUUGGCUACUCUUUGUCUAUGACCCAUAACUGUUGAUACCCCGAAGCCUUACUGCUUGGAUCCUGCUUUCCUCUUCAAUAACUUUGGGUAAGUUCAGCCACUUGGGGUUUGGUCUACAGACUAUGCAAAUCUUAUCUCUGGUUCAGUGGGGGAUACACU
RNAcentral lists this long non-coding RNA (1111 nucleotides) under Equus caballus (horse). RNAcentral's name for it is "lncRNA (ENSECAG00000049738.1)". Lineage: Eukaryota; Metazoa; Chordata; Mammalia; Perissodactyla; Equidae. The record is from RNAcentral.